RNAcentral lists this long non-coding RNA (3874 nucleotides) under Brassica napus (rape). Its description in RNAcentral is "long non-coding RNA (BNAP_LNC011663)". The record is from RNAcentral. Lineage: Eukaryota; Viridiplantae; Streptophyta; Magnoliopsida; Brassicales; Brassicaceae.
UGAUAAUCACGGUUUUCGCGCUAAGACCUUGCUGCUUCUUGUUCAGACCAGCACAAUGACCAAGAGGGCUUCCACAAAGACCUGCAUUGCCUACAAAAGCAUCAGCUUGCCAUUUAGAGAACUGCUUCUUCAACUUCCCCUCGAGGUUGUUGUAAGAGAGGUUGAGAUACACUAAGCUCUUCAUGUCCCCGAUCUGUCCAGGAACAACUCCGACAAGGUGAUUGUGAGACAGAUCAAGUGACUCAAGCUUAUGUAACGUCGAGAUCGUAGAUGGAAUGUCUCCGGUGAAGUUGUUGUAGCUGAGAUCUAAAGCACUUUGAAGAUCCUGUAGCUGUCCAAUCUCAACAGGAAUUUCUCCGGUUAAGAUGUUUCUUGAUAACCGGAGCUCAUAAAGCUUGCUCAGCUUGCCUAUUCCUGAAGGAAGCUGACCUGAUAUCUGAUUCUUUCCGAGGUUAAGUACAUUGAGAGAUUCCAAGUUUCCAAUCUCUUGUGGGAUCGAACCGUUGAGUGAGUUUCCAUCAAGAGAUAGCACAAGAAGCUUUGUUAAGUUGAAAAUCUCCUUAGGGAGUGAACCGGUAAACUGAUUGGAAGAAAGCUUGAGCUCACCCAAGAGUGGAAGCUUCCCAAGCCAUGGAGGUAUAAUCCCUGAAAGAAAGUUAUCGUUGAUAUCAAUGUGUGUCAGCUUCUUGCACAAACCUAGCUCUAACGGUAUGUUUCCUGUAAGAGAGUUGCUUGAGAUAUCCAACAAAGAUAACUCAUGAAUCUUCCCAAACGUCCAAGGGAUUCUUCCUGUGAACUGAUUCUUCCCUAACCUUAACCGGUCGAGACUCCGAGACUUCCCUAGCUGAAGAGGUACAUCUCCCUCGAAUUCGUUAUCCGUGACAUCAAAAGAGAGAUAAGAGCUUGAACCGCACAACGGACUGAUCGAGCCAUUGAGCUUAUUGCUUGAGAAGUUGAUCCUUGUGAGAUUCUUCAGGUUGAUGAGCGAACUAGGAAGACUCCCCUGGAGAGAAUUGUUGUAAAGGUGCAACUGUUCUAACGACUUCAAGAACUCGAACGAGGAAGGAAUCGUACCCGAGAGCUGGUUAUCAGCUAAAUCAAGAAUCGUCAGCUUGUGACAGUUACCUAAAGUGGCGGGAAUGUUACCAACGAACUCGUUCUCUCUCAAGUGAAGCAGAGUAAGGUCAUCUAAUCUCCCAAUAGAGGAAGGAAUCUCUCCACUGAAAUGAUUCCCAAACAUAUCAACCGACUUCAGACUCGUGCAGUUCCCAAUCUCGGUCGGGAUUUCACCGGAAAACCGGUUCUCGUAUAGAUACAGAACUUCUAAUUUGCUGAGGAAACCGAUUUCGUUAGGUAACUUCCCCUCCAAGUCAUUGUGAUACAGAGCAAGCUCUUGUAGAUUCCUUAGGCUAGAUAUUGGGUGAGAUAACGUACCCUUCAAGGUAUUGUUGUUAAGAUAUAAAACCGUGAGUUCAGCGAGCUUGAACAAUGAAUCUGGGAUUCGUCCGGAGAGCGUGUUGUUCGACAGAUCAAGCGCUUGUAAUGACUGACAUUUGCUAACUUCCGCCGGGAUUUCGCCGGAGAGUUGAGUUCCAGACAAAACCAGUUGCUUCAAGCUUGUGUUGUUAGAGCACAAGCUCUUUCGUAAGGAACCAGAGAGACGGUUAUUGGCUAGAACCAAAUCUUCAAGCUGGUUCAUAUUCCAGAACUCUUCGUGUAUCUCUCCGGUGAGAUUGUUGUUGGACAAAUCAAGGGUUUGAAGAUUCUCCAAACCGGUUACUCUCUUUGGAAUCGGACCUUGAAGUCUGUUACCAACCAAGUUAAGGUAGUGUAGAUGGCGCAAAUCACCGAAUUGGCUCGGAAUCUCACCGGAGAAGCUGUUGUUUCCCAAAUUGAGUAUCUGGAGGUUUCCGAGUUGACUCAGCUCCGUCGGUAAAGACCCGUUGAGGCUAUUCAACGCCACGGUGAACAAAACGAGGCUGGUGCAGUUUCCUAACUCGGGCGGAAUCGGUCCUUGGAGGUAGUUUUGUUGUAGAAUUAAGGCUUGGAGGUUAACGAGUCGACCGAGUUGACUCGGUAUUGAACCGGUGAGUCUACACUUGGCCAAUGCGAGCGUCUGGAGAUUGACGAGGUUACCGAACGUAUCCGGGAUUGAUCCGAUUAGGUCGUUGUCUCCGAGUUUUAACGACCUGAGGUUCACGAGUGAGCCGAGUUGACUCGGUAGCUCGCCGGUGAGUUGGUUAGAGAAGAGAUGCAAAGUUUCCAAGGAGGCGGAGAGGUUGGAGAGAGCAGUUGGGAUGGGACCCACGAGACUGUUGGAAGAUAGAUCGAGGUGGAUUAGGUUACUAAACCGGCCAAUCGAAGGAGAGAUUGAACCGGUUAAGUCAAAAUCAGAGAGAUUUAAACCGAUGACGACACGACCACGGCACGUGACACCGGUCCAGUUGCAGUAAUUGAGAUCAUCUGAAUUCCAGUUUUGGAGAACCUUUUCGUCUUCUGGGUUUAUCACAAUAGACUUCUUCACUUCGAGAAGAGUUUGAAGAUCGUCACUUUGAACCGGCUGACCCAAACCCGGCCCGAUCGAAAACCAGAGGACGAGCAACACAAUAAGAAGAGAACUUUGCUGCAUUUUUUUCCCUUCGUUUUUCUUCUUCUUCUUCAGAAACAAGAGACGUAUGAAAGUGAAUGAAGUAUCUUGAGUUUCUUGUGGUGAUUAGUGUGAGACUAGUGUUGGAAACAUAGAGAAUUUAAGACAAUUGUUGGUCCCUUUGGUUGAAGACGAAUGAUUGGUCGUAAGAACGGUGCAUGGGGACUCUCUCUCUCUAUCUAUCCAUCUAUAUGACAUAUAAUCUGAGCAUAUGUUUGUGUAUAUAUAUAUAUGUUUAAUGUGGUGAGUUAGAGGAGAAGUUAAUGCAGAUAAAGCUAGGGAUGGGGGUAUAAGUUUAAAUCUAUAUAGAUAUCUAUACUAUUGAUCCCAUUGUCAUAAUUACCUUAGGGUCAUGUUUCAUUCACUAACAUUGCAUGUUUCAUUAAGGGCAAUUAAGUAAUAUUAAUAACAAAUCUAUAUUGGGUCAUUAUUUUUGGAUCCAGCCCAAAUCAAAUCUCUCUUGGGCCAUUUGGGCCUAUUAAAAAAUCAGAUUCAAUUCUCACCUUUUUUUUUCCUUUGGACCAUUGAGUCCAAGUUCAAAUAAUUUUUUUUCAACUAUUCUUAAUUAUUAUUUUUUUCUUUUCUUAAUAUAAUUUAAGCAUUCAUAAAAAUAAUUGAAUUUUUUUAUUGAAAAGUAUAAAUCUUUAUUAAAAGUAUAUAAUUUUUUAAUUAAAAUAUUAACCCCAUAAUAAAAUUAAUUUAUCAGAGUUAUACCAACUUAAUUCAUUAAAAAAAUAAAGUUUAAUUUUUUUAACAUAAAUAGUCAUUUAAAAUGAAAUACGAUAAAUAAAGAUAAAAUUUUUAAGUCUUUUAUAAAAUAAAACACAAAUAUAUGAAAAUGUGACAUUUACUAAAUAUUUGUCAAUUGAAAAAAAAAACAAAAAUAAACCCGCGCUUUGAAAGCGCGGGUCAAAAUCUAGUNNNNNNNNNNNNNNNNNNNNNNNNNNNNNNNNNNNNNNNNNNNNNNNNNNNNNNNNNNNNNNNNNNNNNGCUUGCCAUUUAGAGAACUGCUUCUUCAACUUCCCCUCGAGGUUGUUGUAAGAGAGGUUGAGAUACACUAAGCUCUUCAUGUCCCCGAUCUGUCCAGGAACAACUCCGAUAAGGUGAUUGUGAGACAGAUCAAGUGAUUCAAGCUUAUGUAACGUCGAGAUCGUAGAUGGAAUGUCUCCGGUGAAGUUGUUGUAGCUGAGAUCUAAAGCACUUUGAAGAUCCUGUAGCUGUCCAAUC